GCUACAGGUGAUGCCCACCUGUAGUCGCAACUACUCAGGAAGCUGAGGCAGGAGGAUUGCUUGAGCCCAGGAAUUCUGGGCUGUAGUGGGCUAUGCCCACCGGCUUAUGCACUAAAUUUGGCAUCAAUGUGCUAACCUCCUGGGAGUGGGGACCACCAGGUGGCCUAAGGAGAGCUGAACUGUCCAGGUCAGAGCUGGAGCAGGUCAAAACUCCCAUGCUGAUUAGUAGUAGGACUGCACCUGUGAAUAGCCAUUCUACUCCAGCCUGGGCAAUAUAGCAAGACCCCAUCUUUA
This is an unclassified non-coding RNA of Callithrix jacchus (white-tufted-ear marmoset), 294 nucleotides long. It matches the Rfam family "Metazoan signal recognition particle RNA". From Rfam's summary of the family: The signal recognition particle (SRP) is a universally conserved ribonucleoprotein. It is involved in the co-translational targeting of proteins to membranes. The eukaryotic SRP consists of a 300-nucleotide 7S RNA and six proteins: SRPs 72, 68, 54, 19, 14, and 9. The record is from Ensembl. NCBI's taxonomy places the organism in Eukaryota, Metazoa, Chordata, Mammalia, Primates, Cebidae.